GAUGAACGCUGGCGGCGUGCCUAAUACAUGCAAGUCGAGCGAACAGAUGAGGAGCUUGCUCCUCUGACGUUAGCGGCGGACGGGUGAGUAACAAGUGGAUAACCUACCUAUAAGACUGGGAUAACUUCGGGAACCCGGAGCUAAUACCGGAUAAUAUAUUGAACCGCAUUGUUCAUUAGUGAAAGACGGUUUUGCUGUCACUUAUAGAUGGAUCCGCGCCGCAUUAGCUAGUUGGUAAGGUAACGGCUUACCAAGGCAACGAUGCGUAGCCGACCUGAGAGAAUGAUCGGCCACACUGGAUCUGAGACACGGUCCAGACACCUACGGGAGGCAGCAGUAUGGAAUCUUCCGCAAUGGGCGAAAGCCUAACGGAGCAACACCGCAUGAGUGAUAAAGGUCUUCGGAUCGUAAAACUCUGUUAUUAAGGAAGAACAAAUGUGUAAGUAACUAUGCACGUCUUGAGGGUACCUAAUCAGAAAGCCGCGGCUAAGUACGUG
This 497-nucleotide ribosomal RNA is filed under the name uncultured bacterium. RNAcentral describes it as "partial 16S ribosomal RNA". It matches the Rfam family "Bacterial small subunit ribosomal RNA", at positions 28 to 507 of the family's 1533-position model. The record is from RNAcentral.